GCUUGGAUUUUAGAAGCCUUGAAAAAAAUUAGAACAACGGAGAAAAUUAGCAAGGCCUCUGCAUAAAGAUGCACACAAAUCAGUGAAGCAUUUCAUAUUAAA
This is a small nuclear RNA of Pipistrellus kuhlii (Kuhl's pipistrelle), 102 nucleotides long. NCBI's taxonomy places the organism in Eukaryota, Metazoa, Chordata, Mammalia, Chiroptera, Vespertilionidae. The record is from RefSeq and is a predicted model, not a curated record.